This 236-nucleotide non-coding RNA is filed under the name Candidatus Microgenomates bacterium. Its description in RNAcentral is "Microgenomates bacterium GlcN6P sequence". It matches the Rfam family "glmS glucosamine-6-phosphate activated ribozyme aptamer". Rfam says of the family: This entry contains a glucosamine-6-phosphate activated ribozyme that is found in the mRNA for GlmS. GlmS is an enzyme that uses fructose-6-phosphate and glutamine to generate glucosamine-6-phosphate. The ribozyme catalyses self cleavage of the glmS mRNA that is thought to regulate GlmS activity. The record is from RNAcentral. Lineage: Bacteria; Candidatus Microgenomatota.
AUAUAUAAUGGAGGCUUGCCCGGCUGGUGUCUUGAGCGAAAGCGAAAGACAUAAUAGCCGGGGAUACGAGGAAAGGGCGGCUUCUCUGUCUACACAACAUGAGAACAAUCGGACUGUAGGCAUUCUCAAAUGUCUGCUAGUAUCUGCGGGAGCCCUUCGGUAGUACUCUCUACCGUCAACAGGAAUCGGAUCAACCUUUGGGGUAACUCAAAGACUAAAUGGUUCUCUGACAGAGU